Molecule: long non-coding RNA, 2197 nt
Organism: Herpailurus yagouaroundi (jaguarundi)
Lineage: Eukaryota; Metazoa; Chordata; Mammalia; Carnivora; Felidae
Exons: 2
Source: RefSeq, a predicted model, not a curated record
UGAUGAUUGCUCCUCUUGGUUCCUGGGUUUCUAACUCAUCUGUUUCUUUCCCAAAGGGCCAGGGGCUGGAGCUUGACGGGUGGGCUUUUGGCCAGGGCCCUCAAAGUAAAUGAUUACCUGGAUCCUAUUUCCAGGGACUUGGCGCAAGCUGUUGGCUCUCAGUCUGACCAGUCAGAGGAAAGAGGAAAUUAACAGAGAAAGAAAAAUAGAGCAUAGAUAAUUAUUGUAAACAUGACAGCAAGGGAAGGGAAAGGAGGGUAUAUUUACUGUAUCAUUGAACAGUGACCGGAAUAUUAGAUGAGCAAAUCCCUGAAAACGAUUAAAGAGAUCUUAAUAUUUUAUAAAGGGGGUCAUUGGGCAAUAUGUACAUUCUGAAAUCACGAAUUUUAGAACAUGAAAUAAAUGUUUGCGUAUCUCUGUUUGUUACUCUGCUGGAAAUGAUUUGAUCUGCUUAGUAUGAGUUAGUACUAUGGAUUCCCAAAAGUAUGUUUUCUCCUCUUUUCCUCACAUAGUUGAAUAUUUAAAAGCAGGCUGACGGCUUUCUUUCUUUACUUGUUUGUUUCCAUUGUGUCUUAGCCUGGGUUCUGCAGAAGGCAGGCUUCUUGAAGAUUUUGCUGGGGAGUGUGAGCUCCAGGAAAGAAGGAAUGUUGUGUAAGUGAGUUGCCUGCAGCACUUAUCUGCAAGCACUGAUUCCUGGUGGCAGGAUCAUGCCGGACCCCCUGAGGAGCCAUUUGCAAUGAAUCUGAAGACUGGUCAUCAGGGGAAGAAAGUGGAAGGAUUGCCUGCCAAGUUCUGUUCCCUGGAGGCCAUAGGUUUGCCUGUAAGAUGUUAACUGUCACAUCUUCCAGGAUGGAGAUUUGUGGGUACCAAAUGGGUUCCCGAGGCAUCCCACUCUGUGUCCACAGAGAGGCGCUGGUGCGGGCAGUGAAGAGCCUUGAGGUGUAAGUGGGGAUGACAGGAGCUGUUGGUGAGUACCCAGUGAAGGCUGAAACAAAAGAUAAGUGAAGUUGAGGGGGGCCAAAGUCGUAAAUAAGAGAUGUCCCAUACAAAUGGUGAAGCAGUAACACCACACAGGUUAUUCCUUGGGACAGUGUUUUGGUCAGAAAGAUGGAGAAUGAAAAUAUUUAGACAUCGACUUCAGCCUUGAAUUUUGUUUCUUCUUAGUAGUAAUCUUAGUACAGUAAAGUCUUCUUAAUAUAUUUGCCCAGAGCUGAAAAAAAACAACAACACAAAGUUCCAGCUGAAGAUCUAUCAACACACCUCACUUCUGAACGCCAUUGCAUGGUGGUUCCUCGCACGGCACAUAUUCUCUCUGAGAUCCUAUCCACAGCCUGGAUGUCUGUAUGAUUCCCAUCUCGAAAUUACCAUGUCAGCUUCCCUUCUGAACCGAGGGUCCAUUUACUUUAUUACCUUUAAGAAUCUUCCCAUAGGAACUUGCAACAUAACUUGCAAUAUAAUCCGCGACAGAAAUCAACACUGAAAUCUCGCCCUCUUGCCUGGUUAGUCUAUAUGACUGGAAUGCAUAGGGCCAGGGCUGGGAGGGAGUCAUCUCUGAUGCUUUUCUUUCCUCUGUCCUUCACUCCCUUCCCACAGUCGAUCAGCUGUGAAGUUCCAAGUCCACCCCUUCCUAUCUGCAGCUCUGCCCUCUCUUUUCUCUUCCCUGGUCUGCCGUCUUUUUUCUCUUCUCUGAAGUGACUUCUUUUGUUCGUCUCCUCUGGCCUGGGUUACAGCCACAAAUGGCCUCCUGACUGUCUCUCUCCUUUCAGUCUCUUCUGCCAAUCCUCUGGGGGAACAUCACUGACUGCCCAGAGACCAAGGGGGACAGGAGAAGUCACAUGGUCUGCUGAUUCUCAACCAACAGAAAAGCAGGUGUCUAGGUGGGAUCUGAGGGCUUAUAACAAUUACCAAAAUUGGCUCUUGCUUGUUCUCCAAGUCUACCAGCAGUAGUGACGUGAUUCCCUCUCCUUUCCGCCAUGACUUCUUCACCUGUAACCUGCUGGGAGGAAGAGAAAACUUGGACACACACAGAGACACCAGGGAUGGGCACGGAGGAAAGACCAAGCGAGGACACGGAAAGAAGAAGGCCAUUUGUAAGCUGAGGAGAGAGGUCUCAGGGGAAAACAGAGCCACCAGCACCUUGACCUUUGGCUUCGAGCCUCUACAACAGUGAGAAAAUAAAUUUCAAUUGUUUAAACCA